UUGAUGGUCGCGGGAGAGACCGGCUCGAGAGCCGGCACCGAAGGGGAAAGGCGUGCCAGCCGUGCUGCGCGCCGAAGCUCUCAGGUCCAAGGACCGCGAUCGAGAG
This 106-nucleotide non-coding RNA is filed under the name Methylobacterium tarhaniae. RNAcentral's name for it is "Glycine sequence". It matches the Rfam family "Glycine riboswitch aptamer". From Rfam's summary of the family: This family represents the bacterial glycine riboswitch. Glycine riboswitches usually consist of two metabolite-binding aptamers domains with similar structures in tandem. Lineage: Bacteria; Pseudomonadati; Pseudomonadota; Alphaproteobacteria; Hyphomicrobiales; Methylobacteriaceae. The record is from RNAcentral.